This 253-nucleotide ribosomal RNA is filed under the name uncultured bacterium. RNAcentral describes it as "partial 16S ribosomal RNA". It matches the Rfam family "Bacterial small subunit ribosomal RNA", at positions 524 to 776 of the family's 1533-position model. The record is from RNAcentral.
UACGGAGGAGGCAAGCGUUAUUCGGAUUUACUGGGCUUAAAGAGUUCGUAGGCGGCGCAGAAAGUAGGGUGUGAAAGCCCUCGGCUCAACCGAGGAAUUGCGCCCUAAACUACUGUGCUUGAGGGACCUAGAGGUGAGCAGAACAGAUGGUGGAGCGGUGAAAUGCGUUGAUAUCAUCUGGAAUACCGGAGGCGAAGGCGGCUCACUGGGGGUCUUCUGACGCUGAGGAACGAAAGCCAGGGGAGCGAACGGG